This is a long non-coding RNA of Xyrauchen texanus (razorback sucker), 409 nucleotides long. RefSeq lists it as uncharacterized. The transcript has 3 exons. NCBI's taxonomy places the organism in Eukaryota, Metazoa, Chordata, Actinopteri, Cypriniformes, Catostomidae. The record is from RefSeq and is a predicted model, not a curated record.
AAUGAUGGUCUGUCAGAAAAUGAGCACCAGCUGUCUGUGGCAGGAAAGAUAAAGAAGCACUUUAACACUGGACCCAAGCCCAGCAACAACACUCCAGGAAUGUCUGUAAUGACGCUCGACCAUGACUUUUCCAUCCAGAGAUCAGGGUCGCUGGAUUUCUAUCAGAAUCCGGGCAUGUUUUGGAUAAGACCACCACUCUUGAUAAGGAGAGGCAGGUUCUCCGACGAGGAUGCCACCAGAAUGUGAGUGCAGCUCCCUGGACUACCCAGCCAACCUGUAGCCUCCACAUCCCAGCCUUUACACCCCAUCUGUGCCCUGAUCUGCCACCCACUGGGCUUCCCACUCCAGCCCUUACCCCCGAUCCAUGCCCCUCCACCACUACCACCACGCCCGAGUCUGAAGACUUUUC